This 171-nucleotide ribosomal RNA is filed under the name uncultured bacterium. RNAcentral's name for it is "partial 16S ribosomal RNA". The record is from RNAcentral.
CACGCCGUAAACUAUGGAUGCUAGCUGUUACUCAUAUCGACCUGAGUAGUAGCGAAGUUAACGCGUUAAGCAUCCCGCCUGGGGANAAGCGAAGAACCUUACCAAGGCUUGAAAUCCCGAUAGAGAUUUUCCGAAAGGAAAGUUGCAUUUAGUUGGAUCGGUGACAGGUGA